CGAGAACGCCCGGGCCUAGCCGGGGCAAGUACAGUGGCGGACGGGUGCGUAACGCGUAGAUAACCUGCCCUCAGGCGCGGGACAAUCGCGGGAAACCGCGGCUAAUACCGCACGACGUCCGGAUCCCGCAUGGGAGCCGGAUGAAACCUUGGGUUCGCCCAGGGGCCUUUGGAUGGGUCUGCGUCGGAUUAGCUUGUUGGUGAGGUAACGGCUCACCAAGGUAGCGAUCCGUAGCUGGUCUGAGAGGACGAUCAGUCACACUGGGACUGAGACACGGCCCAGACUCCUACGGGAGGCAGCAGUGGGGAAUCUUGCACAAUGGGGUCACCCCUGAUGCAGCCAUGCCGCAUGGAGGAAGACACCCCUAUGGGGCGUAAACUCCUUUUCUGAGAGAAGAAGCCCCUGUAGGUUCAGGGCGUGACGGUAUCUCAGGAAUGAGCACCGGCUAACUCCGUGCCAGCAGCCGCGGUAAUACGGAGGGUGCAAGCGUUGUCCGGAAUCACUGGGCGUAAAGGGUGCGCAGGCGGGGCAGCAAGUCGGAGGUGAAAGCCCGUGGCUCAACCACGGAAGUGCCUUCGAAACUGUUGCUCUUGAGUCCCGGAGAGGUUGCCGGAAUUCGUGGUGUAGCGGUGAAAUGCGUAGAUAUCACGAGGAACACCAGAGGCGAAAGCGGGCAACUGGACGGGUACUGACGCUCAGGCACGAAAGCGCGGGGAGC
RNAcentral lists this ribosomal RNA (718 nucleotides) under uncultured Bacteroidota bacterium. RNAcentral describes it as "bacterial SSU rRNA". It matches the Rfam family "Bacterial small subunit ribosomal RNA", at positions 67 to 769 of the family's 1533-position model. Lineage: Bacteria; Pseudomonadati; Bacteroidota. The record is from RNAcentral.